AGAGCGAACGCUGGCGGCAGGCCUAACACAUGCAAGUCGAGCGCCCGUAGCAAUACGGGAGCGGCAGACGGGAUAGUAACACGUGGGAACGCGCCCUUCGGUUCGGAAUAACUCAGGGAAACUUGAGCUAAUACCGGAUACGCCCUUACGGGGAAAGAUUUAUUGCCGAAGGAACGGCCCGCGUCCGAUUAGCUAGUUGGUGAGGUAAUGGCUCACCAAGGCGACGAUCGGUAGCUGGUCUGAGAGGAUGACCAGCAUCACUGGGACUGAGACACGGCCCAGACUCCUACGGGAGGCAGCAGUGGGGAAUAUUGGACAAUGGGCGCAAGCCUGAUCCAGCCAUGCCGCGUGGAUGAUGAAGGCCUUAGGGUUGUAAAGUCCUUUCGACGGGGAAGAUAAUGACGGUACCCGUAGAAGAAGCCCCGGCUAACUUCGCGCCAGCAGCCGC
This 448-nucleotide ribosomal RNA is filed under the name uncultured bacterium. RNAcentral describes it as "SSU rRNA". It matches the Rfam family "Bacterial small subunit ribosomal RNA", at positions 26 to 518 of the family's 1533-position model. The record is from RNAcentral.